Molecule: ribosomal RNA, 376 nt
Filed under: uncultured bacterium
Lineage: Bacteria
Description: bacterial SSU rRNA
Rfam family: Bacterial small subunit ribosomal RNA
Source: RNAcentral
UAAUACGAAGGGGGCAAGCGUUGUUCGGAUUUACUGGGCGUAAAGGGCGCGCAGGCGGUUCAUCAAGUCGGGUGUGAAAGCCCCGGGCUCAACCUGGGAAUUGCACUCGAGACUGAAGAACUCGAGUUCGGGAGAGGAUGGCGGAAUUCCCAGUGUAGAGGUGAAAUUCGUAGAUAUUGGGAAGAACACCGGUGGCGAAGGCGGCCAUCUGGACCGAGACUGACGCUGAGGCGCGAAAGCGUGGGGAGCAAACAGGAUUAGAUACCCUGGUAGUCCACGCCGUAAACGAUGUGUGCUAGACGUCGGGAAGCCUAGCUUUUCGGUGUCGCAGCUAACGCUUUAAGCACACCGCCUGGGGAGUACGGCCGCAAGGUUA